RNAcentral lists this ribosomal RNA (478 nucleotides) under uncultured bacterium. RNAcentral's name for it is "partial 16S ribosomal RNA". It matches the Rfam family "Bacterial small subunit ribosomal RNA", at positions 28 to 523 of the family's 1533-position model. The record is from RNAcentral.
GACGAACGCUGGCGGCGUGCUUAACACGUGCAAGUCGAACGGUAAGGCCCUUCGGGGUACACGAGUGGCGAACGGGUGAGUAACACGUGGGUGAUCUGCCCUGCACUUCGGGAUAAGCCUGGGAAACUGGGUCUAAUACCGGAUAGGACUCCGGACUGCAUGGUCUGGGGUGGAAAGCUUUUGCGGUGUGGGAUGGGCCCGCGGCCUAGCAGCUUGUUGGGAGGGUGAUGGCCUACCAAGGCGGCGACGGGUCGGCGGCCUGAGGGGGGGACCGGCCACACUGGGACUGAGCUACGGCCCAGACGCCUACGGGAGGCAGCAGUGGGGAAUAUUGCACAAUGGGCUCAAGCCUGAUGCAGCGUCGCCGCGUGAGGGAUGACGGCCUUCGGGUUGUAAACCUCUUUCAGCACAGACGAAGCGAAAGUGACGGUAUGUGCAGAAAAAGGACCGGCCAACUACGUGCCAGCCGCCGCCGUAA